AUACGUAGGUGGCAAGCGUUGUCCGGAUUUACUGGGUGUAAAGGGAGCGUAGACGGAAGGCCAAGUCUGAUGUGAAAGCCCGCGGCUCAACUGCGGGACUGCAUUGGAAACUGGUCAUCUGGAGUGCAGGAGGGGUAAGCGGAAUUCCUAGUGUAGCGGUGAAAUGCGUAGAUAUUAGGAAGAAUACCAGUGGCGAAGGCGGUUUUCUGGCUGCAUACUGACGCUGAAGCGCGAAAGCCGGGGGAGAAAACGGGAUUAGAUUCCCCGGUAGUCCUGGCAGUAAACGAUGUAUGCUGGGUGUGAGGCUAGCGAUAGUUUCGUGCCGAAGUUAACGCGAUAAGCGUACCGCCUGGGGAGUACGGUCGCAAGAUUGAAACUCAAAGGAAUUGACGGG
RNAcentral lists this ribosomal RNA (394 nucleotides) under uncultured bacterium. RNAcentral's name for it is "partial 16S ribosomal RNA". It matches the Rfam family "Bacterial small subunit ribosomal RNA", at positions 523 to 917 of the family's 1533-position model. The record is from RNAcentral.